RNAcentral lists this transfer RNA (72 nucleotides) under bacterium. Its description in RNAcentral is "tRNA-Arg". It matches the Rfam family "tRNA". Rfam says of the family: Transfer RNA (tRNA) molecules are approximately 80 nucleotides in length. Their secondary structure includes four short double-helical elements and three loops (D, anti-codon, and T loops). The record is from RNAcentral.
GCCCUCGUAGCUCAACGGAUAGAGCUGCUCACUCCUAACGAGCGGAUAGGGGUUCAAUUCCUCUCGGGGGCA